ACGGAAGGCAGCAGUGGGGAAUAUUGCACAAUGGGCGCAAGCCUGAUGCAGCGAUGCCGCGUGAGGGAAGAAGGUUUUCGGAUUGUAAACCUCUGUCAUCGGGGACGAUAAUGACUGUACCCGAGAAGGAAGCUCCGGCUAACUACGUGCCAGCAGCCGCGGUAAUACGUAGGGAGCGAGCGUUAUCCGGAAUUACUGGGUGUAAAGGGAGUGUAGGCGGGACUGUAAGUCAGAUGUGAAAUAUACCGGCUCAACUGGUAGACUGCAUUUGAAACUGCGGUUCUUGAGUGAAGUAGAGGUAAGCGGAAUUCCUAGUGUAGCGGUGAAAUGCGUAGAUAUUAGGAGGAACACCAGUGGCGAAGGCGGCUUACUGGACUGUAACUGACGUUGAGGCUCGAAAGCGUGGGGAGCAAACAGGAUUAGAUACCCUGGUA
Molecule: ribosomal RNA, 434 nt
Filed under: uncultured Ruminococcus sp.
Lineage: Bacteria; Bacillati; Bacillota; Clostridia; Eubacteriales; Oscillospiraceae
Description: partial 16S ribosomal RNA
Rfam family: Bacterial small subunit ribosomal RNA
Source: RNAcentral